UACGGGGGGGGUAAGCGUUGUUCGGAAUUACUGGGCGUAAAGGGCUCGUAGGCGGCCAACUAAGUCAGACGUGAAAUCCCUCAGCUUAACCGGGGAACUGCGCUUGAUACUGGAUGGCUUGAGAUUGGGAGAGGGAUGCGGAAUUCCCGGUGUAGCGGUGAAAUGCGCAGAUAUCGGGAGGAACACCGGUGGCGAAGGCGGGUCUCUGGGCAGUAACUGACGCUGAGGAGCGAAAGCGUGGGGAGCGAACAGG
This 253-nucleotide ribosomal RNA is filed under the name uncultured bacterium. RNAcentral describes it as "partial 16S ribosomal RNA". It matches the Rfam family "Bacterial small subunit ribosomal RNA", at positions 524 to 776 of the family's 1533-position model. The record is from RNAcentral.